UACAGAGGGCUCAAGCGUUGUUCGGAUUUAUUGGGCGUAAAGGGCGCGUAGGCGGCGGGGCAAGUCGGGUGUGAAAUCUCAGAGCUCAACUCUGAAAUGGCACUUGAUACUGCUCUGCUAGAGGACUGGAGAGGAGAUUGGAAUUCACGGUGUAGCAGUGAAAUGCGUAGAUAUCGUGAGGAAGACCGGUGGCGAAGGCGGAUCUCUGGACAGUUCCUGACGCUGAGGCGCGAAGGCCAGGGGAGCAAACGGG
This 253-nucleotide ribosomal RNA is filed under the name uncultured bacterium. RNAcentral describes it as "partial 16S ribosomal RNA". It matches the Rfam family "Bacterial small subunit ribosomal RNA", at positions 524 to 776 of the family's 1533-position model. The record is from RNAcentral.